RNAcentral lists this ribosomal RNA (596 nucleotides) under Bartalinia pondoensis. Its description in RNAcentral is "eukaryotic LSU rRNA". The stretch from base 228 to 381 matches the Rfam family "5.8S ribosomal RNA". Lineage: Eukaryota; Fungi; Ascomycota; Sordariomycetes; Amphisphaeriales; Sporocadaceae. The record is from RNAcentral.
CCUUCCGUAGGUGAACCUGCGGAGGGAUCAUUACAGAGUUAUCUAACUCCCAAACCCAUGUGAACUUACCUUUGUUGCCUCGGCAGUAGUUGCUGGGCGAGCCUACCCGGGAACGAGCUACCCUGUAGCGAGUUACCCUGGAACGACUUACCCUGUAACGCCUGCCGGUGGACUACUAAACUCUUGUUAUUUUUAAGUAAUCUGAGCGUCUUAUUUUAAUAAGUCAAAACUUUCAACAACGGAUCUCUUGGUUCUGGCAUCGAUGAAGAACGCAGCGAAAUGCGAUAAGUAAUGUGAAUUGCAGAAUUCAGUGAAUCAUCGAAUCUUUGAACGCACAUUGCGCCCAUUAGUAUUCUAGUGGGCAUGCCUGUUCGAGCGUCAUUUCAACCCUUAAGCCUAGCUUAGUAUUGGGAAUCGACUUUACUGUCGUUCCUCAAAUUCAACGGCGGAUUUAUAGCAAUCUCUGAACGUAGUAAUUUUUUUUCUCGUUUUUGAAAUACUAUAAACCUCAGCCGCUAAACCCCCAAUUUCUUAUGGUUGACCUCGGAUCAGGUAGGAAUACCCGCUGAACUUAAGCAUAUCAAUAAGCGGAGGAA